This 450-nucleotide ribosomal RNA is filed under the name uncultured bacterium. RNAcentral's name for it is "bacterial SSU rRNA". It matches the Rfam family "Bacterial small subunit ribosomal RNA", at positions 354 to 796 of the family's 1533-position model. The record is from RNAcentral.
GUGAGGAAUUUUCCGCAAUGGGCGCAAGCCUGACGGAGCGACGCCGCGUGAGGGAAGAAGGUCUUCGGAUUGUAAACCUCUUUUGGAAGGGAAAAAGGUUCAUGGGGUAAUACUCCAUGAGUUUGAUGGUACUUUUCGAAUAAGCCCCGGCUAACUACGUGCCAGCAGCCGCGGUAAUACGUAGGGGGCGAGCGUUGUCCGGAAUUACUGGGCGUAAAGGGCGUGUAGGCGGUUGAAAAAGUCUGGUGUGAAAUGCUUUGGCUCAACCAAGGCGCUGCGCUGGAUACUAUUUGACUGGAGUUCGGUAGGGGCAGCUGGAAUUCCUGGUGUAACGGUGAAAUGUGUAGAUAUCAGGAGGAACACCCGUGGCGAAGGCGGGCUGCUGGACCGCAACUGACGCUGAUACGCGAAAGCGUGGGUAGCAAACAGGAUUAGAUACCCUUGUAGUCC